AGGUAUUGUUCUCUUGCCGUGGAAACAAUCCCGGCACUGGGGCCAGCCAGGAGGGAGCGGGGCUGGAUACUUCAUUUGGCAGCUCUUAUGACAUCCUGUAUGGCAGGGCAGCCUCCGGGGGACACGUUUUGUGCUGUGCCCUCUGCAAACAGCGCUCAGGAGGGCAGGGUGAGCUGCUUCCGACCAAGGGGCACAAGCCCAGGCUGCUCACCAAGAUCUAUGGGGGCUGGAGGUGGCUUCCCUCUGUGGAGACAUCCAGGCACCGCCUGACAGGCAAUGGGACACUCUGGAGACAGGGAGGUGGCCCAGAAUCCAUCACAACAUACCUGAAAGAACACCUCUGACCACACCCUUCCAACCCUGCAUCACAACAUACCCAAAAGAACACCUCUGACCACACCCUUCCAACCCUGCAUCACAACACACCCAAAAAACACCUCUGACCACACCCUUCCAACCCUGCAUCCAUCCACUCCAUCAGGCCCCACUGGAACACAGCCCAGGUUGGGAGCAGUUGCCUUGCACAGCUCCAGGCAGAGAUCAGCCUUUCCACAGGCGCCUCUCCUUCGGUUUGAUGCUUUCCUUUUGCCCAAGGGACCUGGAAACAAGCUGCACUGGACUCACAGUGGCCAGCUUGAAUAGAAUAAACCCUCCUCCAAGUGUUUUUCAUUCCUGGCCAGCCAUGCUCGUUAUCCAAGACUACAGGAGUUAAAAUUGCAUUUCCUCAGAGAGAAGACACUCAAAGUGAUCAAAUUCAAGGACAAAAGUUGACAGAGCCACCCAAAGCAGCUCUUGACAGCCUGAGCCUUCGCCAGGGCCAGACCAGAGCCUCUGUCCCAGCUGGGCUCAGGGUGACCAAGCUGGAUGGAUGGGACAACAUCAACCUUGCAGCUUCCCUUCCUUCUGCUGACCAGGGACAGGACGCCAGGAAACAGCUGCAGCUGUGACAGGAGCUCAGCCCUUGCCUCAGCCAAAGAGUUUCAUCUUGUAAGAGAUGGGAACAGAGCAGGACAGAGAGGAGAUGUUCCCACACACAGGGACCUGGCAGAGCACCACACUGAGCUGCUCCCUCCAGGUGCCAGGUUAUGGCCAUCCCAGUUUGAGCUGAAGGAAGCUGAAGCUCGUGACCUGUCACAAAGAUGCAGGUGAUGAUGAAAUGGUGGGGACCACCUUACAACACUUUUCAACGUUCCCAAUCUCCCUUAUCAGGGAAGGUUGGGAGAGGGAGGCUUCCAAACCCUUGUAGGUGAUGGCACAACACCAAAUUCAGCUGGCAUGUGGGGAAUGGGAAAUCAGCAUCAAAGCACAGGGCCAGCAGGCAGCAAAAUGGGAUUAUACAGAUUCAUGGGCU
Taeniopygia guttata (zebra finch) is the source of this 1351-nucleotide non-coding RNA. The record is from RefSeq and is a predicted model, not a curated record. Lineage: Eukaryota; Metazoa; Chordata; Aves; Passeriformes; Estrildidae.